AUACAAUGCUGUCAUAUAUUUCGUCAUUUCUAUAAAAAAAUAUGGCCCCACAGUUUAUAUAAAAAACAGAAACCUAUGAAAAGGGGAAGGAAAAAUAUCAAAAUCAUAUUAACUACAAUGUCUGCUUGAACAUUUGAAUGUUGUUGAAACAGAAAACAUUUAAAGUAAGUGCUUGAUCUAAAAGUUUUUUGUAAUUGCUAAGUGUAGCGCCCUAAACUCUUAAUAUAUAAAAAUAAAGGUGGUCAGGUUCCAAACCUUUUCCUACUACAAAAAAAAAAAAAACUUUUGUGCCACAGAAAGUUCUUUACGGAGGCAUUACGCUUAUGUUUUUAAUUGUACGUUUAAAAGACGUGGUUAAGAAAUUGCAUGUUCUUGCUUAAGAUCCUUCACUGAACACUGUUGUCAUCAUGAAAGUUAAUACCAUAAUGACCAAUGCGAAUAAUGACAUCUCUUGUUGCAGUAGUCAUCUGAGUGAUUCUUCUGAAGAUUAGAUAUCGUGAUUCUGUCUUACCUGUUUAAGAAGUGUGUUCGUUUGUUUCCUGUGUGAAUAGGACGGCACGCUUCAGCUCGAGGGUACCAGGCACUGCUUAGGCACGCAAGACAGAGAUGUGUUAAACCUGAAUAUUCAUGAUAUCCAGCAUGAUGUGAAGAUUUCAAACGCAUCUUGUCUGAUUCAGAUGAAGAAAGUUCGACGCCCGAUAAUCGUGCUUCUCCCACUGUGACCCGGUGAGCGCUGCAAACUCUGACGUGGAUAUAAGCUCUUUUACAGCGAAAGCCAAUUAGAGAAGAUCUGUCUGUCCAACCCUUCAGAGAUCUGGCCUGGACCGCUCCAUAGACGCC
Triplophysa rosa is the source of this 840-nucleotide long non-coding RNA. RefSeq lists it as uncharacterized. The record is from RefSeq and is a predicted model, not a curated record. The transcript has 3 exons. Lineage: Eukaryota; Metazoa; Chordata; Actinopteri; Cypriniformes; Nemacheilidae.